GUAUUUCUGUCUCAUUGACAUUGUUAUUUUUGUUGUUAGAUUUCUGUCUCAUUGACAUUGUUAUUUUUGUUGUUAGAUUUCUGUCUCAUUGACAUUGUUAUUUUUGUAGUUGUAUUUCUGUCUCAUUGACAUUGUUAUUUUUGUUGUUAGAUUUCUGUCUCAUUGACAUUGUUAUUUUUGUUGUUAGGUUUCUGUCUCAUUGACAUUGUUAUUUUUUGUUGUUAGAUUUCUGUCUCAUUGACAUUGUUAUUUUUGUAGUUGUAUUUCUGUCUCAUUGACAUUGUUAUUUUUGUUGUUAGAUUUCUGUCUCAUUGACAUUGUUAUUUUUGUUGUUGUAUUUCUGUCUCAUUGACAUUGUUAUUUUUGUUGUCAUUUCUGUCUCAUUGACAUUGUUAUUUUGUUGGAUUUCUGUCUCAUUGACAUUGUUAUUUUUGUUGUUAGAUUUCUGUCUCAUUGACAUUGCUAUUUUUGUAGUUGUAUUUCUGUCUCAUUGACAUUGUUAUUUUUGUUGUUAGAUUUCUGUCUUAUUGACAUUGCUAUUUUUGUAGUUGUAUUUCUGUCUCAUUGACAUUGUUAUUUUUGUUGUUAGAUUUCUGUCUCAUUGACAUUGUUAUUUUUGUAGUUAGAUUUCUGUCUCAUUGACAUUGUUAUUUUUGUUGUUAGAUUUCUGUCUCAUUGACAUUGCUAUUUUUGUAGUUGGGUUUCUGUUUCAUUGACAUAUGCCUCACAUCUCCUUUUAUUUAUGCUGCACUUAAUUUUCCGUGUGCUCAAAAUGGCUGAUAAAAAAGUUUUAUCAUUUAAUUCUGAUAGCAGUACCAGAUUUUCUUUGGAUCAAAUCUAGAGAGUCGAUUUGUAUUGUUUUCGGAUUAACGUCCCGUGGCAAAUACUUCAUGCAUAUUAAAGCUCUUGUUUUAGAAAAUCUUAUUGUAAAUAUUUUACACAUGUGACUUCUUUGACACUUUUUUGUGGUGUUUUCUUAAUAAUGGAAGAACCAAUUUUCUAGAGACGCACCAACGCACCUGCUUCAAAAGUGUUUUUUGGGGUAGUUAAGUGAACAACAAAAGAUUUAAUACCCACACAAUUUACGGAAAAUAACGCAGAUGUCCUUGCACGUACUACGUAAGUUUUACUAAUUUUCUGAAGACAAAUUAACAUGAGCGCAAACUUUAAGAGGAAAGGAAAAAAGAAACUUCCCUUCUUUCGUGAUUAUAUAUUUUUAUUUCAACAUUAGAUUCUUUUUUUUAUUUUUUUAUAAUGUCUUUUACCGCUUCUUCAGAAGUAUUUUAACAUUUGGUUUUCCUUUAACACUGCAGUGUAAACCGAUUUGUCAGUUCCUAUCUCUGUAUGUUUCUCUUUAUACGAUUUAUUGAAUUGCCUUCCUCUCUGCAUGGUCAACUAAGUUGAUUGUUUCUUCACAGUUCCGUUAAUUCUGGUACCAUUCUAACAUCAACUUUGACUUACGACUUUUCCCCCAACACGAAAUGGUUAUUCCCAUGUGACUCUGACUUUGACUAAAGACAGACUUGCAGUUGUAAUCGUUUACGAUGGAAUUAUGCAUUCUGUUUGUCUGUUGUCGAUACAAGAAGGUGUGGAUGGAGGUUUUAAAUUAGAGAAUAAGGGACAAAAAAAUGUAAAGAAUAGAUAAUAAUGGAC
RNAcentral lists this long non-coding RNA (1653 nucleotides) under Mytilus galloprovincialis (Mediterranean mussel). Lineage: Eukaryota; Metazoa; Mollusca; Bivalvia; Mytilida; Mytilidae. The record is from RNAcentral.